GACGAACGCUGGCGGCGUGCUUAACACAUGCAAGUCGAACGAUGAAGCCGGAGCUUGCUCUGGUGAAUUAGUGGCGAACGGGUGAGUAACACGUGAGUAACCUGCCCUUGACUCUGGGAUAACUGCGGGAAACUGUAGCUAAUACCGGAUACGACCCUCGGAGGCAUCUCCUGGGGGUGGAAAGAAUUUCGGUCAAGGAUGGACUCGCGGCCUAUCAGCUAGUUGGUGAGGUAAAGGCUGACCAAGGCGACGACGGGUAGCCGGCCUGAGAGGGUGACCGGCCACACUGGGACUGAGACACGGCCCAGACUCCUACGGGAGGCAGCAGUGGCGAAGAUUGCACAAUGGGCGCAAGCCUGAUGCAGCAACGCCGCGUGAGGGAUGACGGCCUUCGGGUUGUAAACCUCUUUUAGCAGGGAAGAAGCGAAAGUGACGGUACCUGCAGAAAAAGCACCGGCUAACUACGUGCCAGCCGCCGCCGUAA
This 484-nucleotide ribosomal RNA is filed under the name uncultured bacterium. Its description in RNAcentral is "partial 16S ribosomal RNA". It matches the Rfam family "Bacterial small subunit ribosomal RNA", at positions 28 to 523 of the family's 1533-position model. The record is from RNAcentral.